Molecule: ribosomal RNA, 253 nt
Filed under: uncultured bacterium
Lineage: Bacteria
Description: partial 16S ribosomal RNA
Rfam family: Bacterial small subunit ribosomal RNA
Source: RNAcentral
UACGUAGGGGGCAAGCGUUGUCCGGAUUUAUUGGGCGUAAAGAGCGUGUAGGCGGUCAGGUAGGUCCGUUGUGAAAACUCGAGGCUCAACCUCGAGACGCCGAUGGAAACCAUCUGACUAGAGUCCGGAAGAGGAGAGUGGAAUUCCUGGUGUAGCGGUGAAAUGCGUAGAUAUCAGGAGGAAUACCGAUGGCGAAGGCAGGUCUCUGGGCUGACACUGACGCUCAUGCACGAAAGCGUGGGGAGCAAACAGG